AGCGAACGCUGGCGGCAGGCCUAACACAUGCAAGUCGAACGGACCCUUCGGGGUUAGUGGCGGACGGGUGAGUAACACGUGGGAACGUGCCUUUCGGUUCGGAAUAGCUCCUGGAAACGGGGGGUAAUGCCGCAUGUGCCCUUCGGGGGAAAGAUUUAUCGCCUUUAGAGCGGCCCGCGUCUGAUUAGCUAGUUGGUGAGGUAAUGGCUCACCAAGGCGACGAUCAGUAGCUGGUCUGAGAGGAUGACCAGCCACACUGGGACUGAGACACGGCCCAGACUCCUACGGGAGGCAGCAGUGGGGAAUCUUGCGCAAUGGGCGAAAGCCUGACGCAGCCAUGCCGCGUGAAUGAUGAAGGUCUUAGGAUUGUAAAAUUCUUUCACCGGGGACGAUAAUGACGGUACCCGGAGAAGAAGCCCCGGCUAACUUCGUGCCAGCAGCCGCAGUAA
This 449-nucleotide ribosomal RNA is filed under the name uncultured bacterium. Its description in RNAcentral is "partial 16S ribosomal RNA". It matches the Rfam family "Bacterial small subunit ribosomal RNA", at positions 29 to 523 of the family's 1533-position model. The record is from RNAcentral.